AAAACACCAAGCGCAGAAGUUGAAGAAGGCUCUUUCCGCAAAUGAAGAUGUGCACAGGGAAAAGGAAAUUCACAUUUUUUUCCCCCAGGAAUUGAGAGCCACAAAAAUCAUUUGACAGGACAGCUUGCAGGUAUUUGUCUACCAAUCGACAAUACCAUCAAGGAAAAAAAAUCACAUCUGAUGGAUGAAGGAGUGUCUAAAGUUUCAGAAAUGAGACGUCACAUCAAGUCAUUUAGCAGGAAGGAACUUAGAAUGACUGAUGAAGAAAAUCGACGCUUCUUUCCAUUGGAUAAAGAUAUUAGAAAUCUAAUGAAUUCUUUCAAGGAACAGACACGCACAGGUAAUGGGGGAAAAUAUGCGAAUUGUUGUGUUAUAGUUGUUGCAGAAUUAAUGUUCCUUGAAAUAUAAGUCACAACUAUUCCCACUCCUUCUGCCUGGUGUGCAAGAUAAAUAAUGUGGUGAAAAGAACUGAUGUGCCGAAAGAGAGUCUGAUAUUUCAAAAAAGAGCCUGAUGUGUGAAAACUUCUACUGUGAAUGAUAACUGAUAUACACUGUAUAUAUAGUGAUGUGAAACAAGUCAAAUUUCUACAUGUAUAUCCUAUAUUUUAGACACUGUACAUGAACCUACCUAUCUACUUCUGAGUGAUGUGAA
Ostrea edulis (European flat oyster) is the source of this 652-nucleotide long non-coding RNA. RefSeq lists it as uncharacterized. Lineage: Eukaryota; Metazoa; Mollusca; Bivalvia; Ostreida; Ostreidae. The transcript has 3 exons. The record is from RefSeq and is a predicted model, not a curated record.